UACGUAGGGUGCAAGCGUUAAUCGGAAUUACUGGGCGUAAAGCGUGCGCAGGCGGUUCGCUAAGACAGAUGUGAAAUCCCCGGGCUUAACCUGGGAACUGCAUUUGUGACUGGCGGGCUAGAGUAUGGCAGAGGGGGGUAAAAUUCCACGUGUAGCAGUGAAAUGCGUAGAGAUGUGGAGGAAUACCGAUGGCGAAGGCAGCCCCCUGGGCCAAUACUGACGCUCAUGCACGAAAGCGUGGGGAGCAAACAGG
RNAcentral lists this ribosomal RNA (253 nucleotides) under uncultured bacterium. RNAcentral's name for it is "partial 16S ribosomal RNA". It matches the Rfam family "Bacterial small subunit ribosomal RNA", at positions 524 to 776 of the family's 1533-position model. The record is from RNAcentral.